CUCCUCUUGAGUGAAGAAUAAGAGGUAGGAUCUGCUCCAUGCAUAAAGUAAAUUGCCGCAGUAUUUUGACUGUGCUAAGGUAGCAAAAUAAUUUGGCUCUUCAUUAGAGUCUGGAAUGAAUGAUUUGACAAAGUCAAAACUGUCUCACUUAUUAUUUCAGAAAUUGGACUGUUUGUAAAAAUACAAACAUGGGAGAGAGGGACGAAAAGACCCUAUAGAUCUUUAUUUUAUUAUUGAAUAUUCCUAUGGAGUUUUUAAUAGGUUAAAUUUACUUGGGAUAAGACUAAAAGUGAAUUUUGGUUCGAGGAAAAGAUUGAUUGAUCGAUAAGAUGAUGAAGAGUAAGAUAAGUUACCUUAGGGAUAACAGGACAAUUUUUUUAUUAAGAACUUAUUAGUAAAGGAGUUUGUCACCUCGAUGUUGAAUUAAGUUUACUUUUAUUCGGAGGAGGAUAAGGAGUUAGUCUGUUCGACUAUUAAAAACUU
RNAcentral lists this ribosomal RNA (483 nucleotides) under Guimaraesiella sp. IZGAS 1_J0095. RNAcentral's name for it is "partial large subunit ribosomal RNA". It matches the Rfam family "Bacterial large subunit ribosomal RNA", at positions 1826 to 2597 of the family's 2925-position model. The record is from RNAcentral. Lineage: Eukaryota; Metazoa; Arthropoda; Insecta; Psocodea; Philopteridae.